This 255-nucleotide ribosomal RNA is filed under the name uncultured bacterium. RNAcentral describes it as "partial 16S ribosomal RNA". It matches the Rfam family "Bacterial small subunit ribosomal RNA", at positions 524 to 776 of the family's 1533-position model. The record is from RNAcentral.
UACGUAGGAUGCAAGCGUUGUCCGGAAUUAUUGGGCGUAAAGAGCGCGCAGGCGGUCUGCCAAGUCAGAUGUGAAAGAGGCCGGCUUAACCGGCAAGGGUCAUUUGAAACUGACAGACUAGAGUGCAGCAGAGGAUAGCGGAAUUCCCGGUGUAGUGGUGAAAAUGCGUAGAUAUCGGGGAGGAACACCAGUGGCGAAGGCGGCUAUCUGGGCUGCAACUGACGCUGAGGCGCGAAGGCUAGGGUAGCAAACAGG